GGAAGAGAGAAAGCAGAAGACACGUGGUGGUCGCCGCGUCACCAAGAGAGCUCGCCUUUCUAAUGAAGAGUCUCACGCUGGUGAGCGACCACCAGGAGCAGCUGCUCUUCCCCGAACCUCCCAUGGACCCCACGCCAUGGUCGUCGCAUUCGAAAACUUUUCAGGAUUUAUCGAACACGUGACGACCAUGGCAAAGAUGAUGUGCUCCUGCCGGGACUGCCGCUUUUAAAAAAAAAAAA
This is a long non-coding RNA of Oreochromis niloticus (Nile tilapia), 239 nucleotides long. RefSeq lists it as uncharacterized. The record is from RefSeq and is a predicted model, not a curated record. Lineage: Eukaryota; Metazoa; Chordata; Actinopteri; Cichliformes; Cichlidae. The transcript is spliced from 3 exons.